Molecule: ribosomal RNA, 253 nt
Filed under: uncultured bacterium
Lineage: Bacteria
Description: partial 16S ribosomal RNA
Rfam family: Bacterial small subunit ribosomal RNA
Source: RNAcentral
UACGUAGGUGGCAAGCGUUGUCCGGAAUUAUUGGGCGUAAAGCGCGCGCAGGCGGUCCUUUAAGUCUGAUGUGAAAGCCCACGGCUCAACCGUGGAGGGUCAUUGGAAACUGGGGGACUUGAGUGCAGGAGAGAAGAGUGGAAUUCCACGUGUAGCGGUGAAAUGCGUAGAGAUGUGGAGGAACACCCGUGGCUAAGGCGGCUCUCUAGUACGGUACUGACGCUGAGACGCGAAAGCGUGGGGAGCGAACGGG